This 2580-nucleotide long non-coding RNA is filed under the name Lupinus mutabilis. RNAcentral's name for it is "partial ncRNA". The record is from RNAcentral. Lineage: Eukaryota; Viridiplantae; Streptophyta; Magnoliopsida; Fabales; Fabaceae.
CCUUCAAUUCCAUUCCCUUCAAUUCCAUUCCCUUCAAUUCCAUUCCCUUCAAUUCCAUUCCCUUCAAUGACAACAGCACCAGCACCAGUCAAAUCUCAACCUCUUCACAAUUUUCCUCUCUCUUUCCUCAAAUGGGGUGGCACCAGCACUUCCAAAAAUAACCACCCUACUUCCAACCACCACCACCGUCGCUUCCGCCGUCCAUCUUCCUCCUCCGACCUUCUCCCUCCUUCUUCCCCUGAUCAUCCUUCCGAGCCUGACUCCGAUCCUCCCCGCCACGGAUCCCGAACCUCCCGUAACAACCGCUUCGCUGUCCGUCAUUCUCCAAAACAAAACUCUAAUCACGACGAAACAGAUGACGAAGCUGCCGACAACAAGAAGCGCGGCGGUGACACCGAAGACGCUGUCGCUGAAGCUGAAGAAACUGUACAGAAGCCGUGGAAUUUAAGGCCACGGAGACAACCGGCUGUUCCGGUUAUCGCGAUCGGUGGGAAGAAUGGGAACGGGGAAGUUCAGGAACCGGUGCAUUCGGUUCGGGUGAGAGGAGAUACGUCGAUGAUGAUGAUGAUGCAGUGCGGUGAGAGGAAGAAGGAGGUGAAGAAGAGCAAGUUCUGGAUCGCGCUCUCGAAGGACGAAAUCGAAGAGGAUAUUUUUGUCAUGACAGGGUCUAGACCUAAUCGAAGGCCCAAGAAAAGGGCCAAAAAUGUUCAGAAACAAAUUGAUAGUGUUUUCCCUGGAUUAUGGUUGGUGGGGGUCUCUGCUGAUGCUUACAAGGUCGAAGAAACGCCAUCGAAGGUUCUCUCUUAGCUUCAUUGCAUUAUCGCUGUGUUGUAUGUGUAGAUAAGUUGUGGUCCAACCACAAUUGCAGUAGUUGUCAUUGCGUUGCAUUUACAAUGGUUCAACCCUAUCAUGAUUGCAACUGUGAUUGCAUUGGCCAAAAUUUGCUGCAUUUGUAAUGAAUGCAACACAAUCACAACUGCAAUAUAAAAUCAUGUGUGUUUUUGCUAUGUCCUGAUGAUUGCUUCAAUUCAUAAUUUUCUUUCUAAUUUUAUUGCUUUGCAUUGAGGAAAAUGAGCAGUGGAAGAUGUAUGCACACAUUUGUGUGUAAUUCUGUCUUUUAUGUGGGUGUAAGGUUUUAAAUUUGCAGGCAAUCACAAUUCUGGUGUUUUAGUUCUUUUCACAACCGCAUCUACAUUGCAAUUGUGGUUGCAUUGGCCAUAUUCCCCACAAUUGUUCACAAUCUAGUAAACGAAACAGAACUGCAGCCACAAUUUAAAACAACAUGCAUGUGUUUUUGCCAGGGCUUGAUGAUUGCUUCAAUUUAAUUUUUUUGUUGUUGCAAUUUUAUGAUAUUGUAUUGUGGAUGAAAAUGAACAUUUGAUGAUGAUUUUUCGCAGAGGUAGAGAAGCUGUGAAUUGAAUUGUAGCAUGUGAAAAAAGUUUAGAAUGCUUUUGGACAUGGUAAAUAGGAUCCGGGAUGGAUGGAAGCACAAAUGCACAGAACUUUGUAAGGGCAAAAUUAGUUAAUCUGCAAAACCCUCAAUUCAAAUACUGGGUUUAUCAUGGGAGGCAUUGCCAUGCUUCCUAUCUCUGGAAAAUGCCUUUGUCAGAAGAGCCCCAGUGAGGUUUAAGGUUUAAAUAUGAUUGCAUGCUUUUCUUACUUUCGUAUAUGUCCAUAUGUUUCUAAUUGUUAAUUUCAUUAAUCCGCUCCAUUAUAAUAAUUGCAUUGGUUCUCUCUACCAUAGCAUCAUUAGAUUUGCAUGAAGGCAAGCAUUUAUUCAAUCUCAAUGGAAAGCAAUGCUAAAAUGGUUUAAUGUUUAUUUAGUCGGGUGAUAGUUUAUCCAACCCAAUGGGUCAUGUUCUGAUAUGGAUUCUGGGGUGGUGCACUUGACCAAGUCUGAGCACUGUUUGAAAGCAACCUCCUCCAUGCACUGCAGCCCUCUGGUUGAAAGGGGGCACUUGCAAGUUGCAAAAAGGUAGUCUGAUGCUCAAGUUAGCCUAGGUGGCGGUGAGUUAGAAUGAACCUCUCUAAUUUGUAAUGAGAUGGGUUAUGUUUAAAAUGGACUUGUGUAGUUGUGCUUGACCAUGUUCCGGUCCAGAAGAGGUCAUGUCAGUAGUAGGACACUGGUCUAUUUACCUAGUUGUUUCUUUCUUUUUUGGGUUGAAUGUUAUACACUGUUACAAAAUUUCCCCUUCCGAGGAUAACAAAGGUGCCUUCUUUUCUGUGGUUCAUUUUCCUUGUGAGAAAAAGGUCUGUCAAGUUCAAACCAUCGCCUACUAUCUAAUUCGAGAUUUAUCUCAACAAGAAUUACAAUUUUCUUACUGUGUCAUGUUUAAUUGGUUUAUCGAUGGAUGGUGACAAAUAAUUGUGAAGGGCUAGUUCCCUAGUUUAGAAGGGAAAAAAACUUUCUGCUGCGUCACUUGUUUCGUAGUCUUUGCUUCUCUCAUUUGUGUAGGCUUCAGAACCUAACAGCUACUUAGCUCACUUCCAAAGAGAACACAGUUACCCAGCUUUUGUGUCCGUAGAUGAAUAGCCGAGUUUCUAAGUGCAAUGAUGAAAAUAGUGAAUGUGCCAUUUUAG